UGCGUAGGCGGUUUUGUGUGUCAGAUGUGAAAGCCCAUGGCUCAACCAUGGAAUUGCAUUUGAAACUGCAGAACUCGAGUAUCGGAGAGGUAGAUGGAAUUCUAGGUGUAGCGGUGAAAUGCGUAGAUAUCUAGAAGAACACCAGCGGCGAAAGCGAUCUACUGGACGAAUACUGACGCUGAGGCACGAAAGCCAGGGAGCGAAGA
Molecule: ribosomal RNA, 206 nt
Filed under: uncultured bacterium
Lineage: Bacteria
Description: partial 16S ribosomal RNA
Rfam family: Bacterial small subunit ribosomal RNA
Source: RNAcentral